AUACGUAGGUGGCGAGCGUUGUCCGGAAUUACUGGGCGUAAAGGGUGCGUAGGCGGAUACUUAAGUCAGAUGUGAAACUCCGGGGCUUAACUUCGGGACUGCAUUUGAAACUGGGUAUCUAGAGUGCAGGAGAGGGAAGCGGAAUUCCUAGUGUAGCGGUGAAAUGCGUAGAUAUUAGGAAGAACACCAGUGGCGAAGGCGGCUUUCUGGACUGUAACUGACGCUGAGGCACGAAAGCGUGGGGAGCGAACAGGAUUAGAUACCCUGGUAGUCCACGCCGUAAACGAUGAGUGCUAGGUGUAGGGGGCGAAUGCCUUCUGUGCCGCAGUAAACGCAAUAAGCACUCCGCCUGGGGAGUACGGUCGCAAGACUAAA
RNAcentral lists this ribosomal RNA (375 nucleotides) under uncultured bacterium. RNAcentral's name for it is "bacterial SSU rRNA". It matches the Rfam family "Bacterial small subunit ribosomal RNA", at positions 523 to 898 of the family's 1533-position model. The record is from RNAcentral.